GGAAUAUUGGGCAAUGGAGGGAACUCUGACCCAGCGACGCCGCGUGCGGGAUGAAGGCCUUCGGGUUGUAAACCGCUUUCAGCAAGGAAGAAGCGAAAGUGACGGUACUUGCAGAAGAAGCACCGGCUAACUAUGUGCCAGCAGCCGCGGUAAUACAUAGGGUGCAAGCGUUGUCCGGAAUUAUUGGGCGUAAAGAGCUCGUAGGUGGUUCGUCACGUCGGAUGUGAAAAUCUGGGGCUUAACCCCAGACCUGCAUUCGAUACGGGCGAGCUAGAGUGUGGUAGGGGAGACUGGAAUUCCUGGUGUAGCGGUGGAAUGCGCAGAUAUCAGGAGGAACACCAAUGGCGAAGGCAGGUCUCUGGGCCAUUACUGACACUGAGGAGCGAAAGCGUGGGGAGCGAACAGGAUUAGAUACCCUGGUAGUCCACGCCGUAAACGGUGGGCACUAGUUGUGGGAACCUUCCACGGUUUCUGCGACGCAGCUAACGCAUUAAGUGCCCCGCCUGGGGAGUACGAUCGCAAGAUUAAAACUCAAAUGAAUUGACGG
RNAcentral lists this ribosomal RNA (547 nucleotides) under uncultured bacterium. RNAcentral describes it as "bacterial SSU rRNA". It matches the Rfam family "Bacterial small subunit ribosomal RNA", at positions 358 to 916 of the family's 1533-position model. The record is from RNAcentral.